GACGAACGCUGGCGGCGUGCUUAACACAUGCAAGUCGAACGGAGAAAGGAGAGCUUUCUCUUCUGGAUCAUUGGCGAACGGGUGAGUAACACGUGAGGAACCUCCCCCAAACUCUGGAAUAAGCCCUGGAAACGGCGGCUAAUACCGGAGACGAUACAUAGCUGCAUGUCGACUAUCUGUGAAGUUCGUCUGUGUGGGAUGGACUCGCUGGCUAUCAGCUUGUUUGUGAGGUAACGGCUCACCAAGGGAACGACGGGUAGGCGGCCUGAGAGGGCGACCAGCGACAAUGGGCCUAAGAGACGGACCAGAAUCCUACGGGCGGCAGCAGUCGGGAAUCUGGCGCAGUGGGCGAACGCCUGAUGCAGCGAUGCCGCGUGAGGGAUGCCGGCCUUCGGGUUGUAAACAUCUUUCAGCAGAGAAGAAGAGAAAGUGACGGUACCUGAAGAAGAAGCAACGGCUAACUACGUG
RNAcentral lists this ribosomal RNA (468 nucleotides) under uncultured bacterium. RNAcentral's name for it is "partial 16S ribosomal RNA". It matches the Rfam family "Bacterial small subunit ribosomal RNA", at positions 28 to 507 of the family's 1533-position model. The record is from RNAcentral.